This 343-nucleotide unclassified non-coding RNA is filed under the name soil metagenome. RNAcentral's name for it is "partial contains 5.8S ribosomal RNA, internal transcribed spacer 2, and large subunit ribosomal RNA". The stretch from base 1 to 120 matches the Rfam family "5.8S ribosomal RNA", at positions 35 to 154 of the family's 154-position model. The record is from RNAcentral.
GAUGAAGAACGUAGCGAAAUGCGAUAAGUAAUGUGAAUUGCAGAAUUCAGUGAAUCAUCGAAUCUUUGAACGCACAUUGCGCCCGCUAGUAUUCUGGCGGGCAUGCCUGUCCGAGCGUCAUUUCAACCCUCAAGCCCCCGGGCUUGGUGUUGGGGAUCGGCGAGCCUCCGCGCCCGCCGUCCCCUAAAUCUAGUGGCGGUCUCGCUGUAGCUUCCUCUGCGUAGUAGCACACCUCGCACUGGGAAACAGCGCGGCCACGCCGUUAAACCCUCAACUUCUGAACGUUUGACCUCGGAUCAGGUAGGAAUACCCGCUGAACUUAAGCAUAUCAAUAAGCGGAGGA